UACGUAGGGGGCGAGCGUUACCCGGAAUCACUGGGCGUAAAGGGAGCGUAGGUGGCCUGACAUGUCAACUGUGAAAACCCGGAGCUCAACUCCGGACUUGCAGUUGAAACUGCCAGGCUUGAGGACGGUAGAGGAAGACGGAACUGCCAGUGUAGGGGUAAAAUCCUUAGAUAUUGGCAGGAACGCCGGUGACGAAGGUGGUUUUCUGGGCCGGUUCUGACACUGAUGCUCGAAAGCCAGGGGAGCGAACGGGAUUAGAUACCCCGGUAGUCCUGGCCCUAAACGAUGUUCACUAGGUGUGGGGAGCGGAAAGCUUUCCGUGCUAAAGCUAACGCGAUAAGUGAACCGCCUGGGGAGUACGCCCGCAAGGGUGAA
RNAcentral lists this ribosomal RNA (375 nucleotides) under uncultured bacterium. RNAcentral describes it as "bacterial SSU rRNA". It matches the Rfam family "Bacterial small subunit ribosomal RNA", at positions 524 to 898 of the family's 1533-position model. The record is from RNAcentral.